AAUUUACUUUUAAGGUGAAGAUGCCUAAUUGUUAAUGAAAGACGAGAAGACCCUAUAGAGCUUAAAUUAAGCUUUUUUUUAUUAGUUUCUAUUUAUUAGGUUGAAUAAUAUUGAUUGAGUUAAUUUUUGUUGGGGUGACAUUUAAAUUUUAUUUGGUUUUAAAAUACGAUAAAGAUACUUUUUAAUUUAUAAUAAUUUAUUUAAAACGAUCCAAUAAUAUUGAUCUCAGGACUAAGUUACCUUAGGGUUAACAGCAUAAUCUCUUUUGAGAGUUCUUAUCGACGAAGAGGAUUGUGACCUCGAUGUUGGAUUA
This 313-nucleotide ribosomal RNA is filed under the name Priapulus caudatus. RNAcentral's name for it is "partial large subunit ribosomal RNA". Lineage: Eukaryota; Metazoa; Priapulida; Priapulimorpha; Priapulimorphida; Priapulidae. The record is from RNAcentral.